UUUAUUGAAACUUCGGUCGAUUUAAUUUAAUUCUAGUGGCGGACGGGUGAGUAACGCGUGGGUAACCUGCCUUAUACAGGGGAAUAACAGUCAGAAAUGGCUGCUAAUACCGCAUAAGCGCACAGAGCUGCAUGGCUCAGUGUGAAAAACUCCGGUGGUAUAAGAUAGACCCGCGUUGGAUUAGCUUGUUGGUGGGGUAACGGCCCACCAAGGCGACGAUCCAUAGCCGGCCUGAGAGGGUGAACGGCCACAUUGGGACUGAGACACGGCCCAGACUCCUACGGGAGGCAGCAGUGGGGAAUAUUGCACAAUGGGGGAAACCCUGAUGCAGCGACGCCGCGUGAAGGAAGAAGUAUCUCGGUAUGUAAACUUCUAUCAGCGGGGAAGAUAGUGACGGUACCUGACUAAGAAGCCCCGGCUAACUACGUGCCAGCAGCCGCGGUAAUACGUAGGGGGCAAGCGUUAUCCGGAUUUACUGGGUGUAAAGGGAGCGUAGACGGUGUGGCAAGUCUGAUGUGAAAGGCAUGGGCUCAACCUGUGGACUGCAUUGGAAACUGUCAUACUUGAGUGCCGGAGGGGUAAGCGGAAUUCCUAGUGUAGCGGUGAAAUGCGUAGAUAUUAGGAGGAACACCAGUGGCGAAGGCGGCUUACUGGAC
This 656-nucleotide ribosomal RNA is filed under the name uncultured Lachnospiraceae bacterium. Its description in RNAcentral is "bacterial SSU rRNA". It matches the Rfam family "Bacterial small subunit ribosomal RNA", at positions 63 to 734 of the family's 1533-position model. Lineage: Bacteria; Bacillati; Bacillota; Clostridia; Lachnospirales; Lachnospiraceae. The record is from RNAcentral.